Molecule: ribosomal RNA, 250 nt
Filed under: uncultured Sphingobium sp.
Lineage: Bacteria; Pseudomonadati; Pseudomonadota; Alphaproteobacteria; Sphingomonadales; Sphingobiaceae
Description: partial 16S ribosomal RNA
Rfam family: Bacterial small subunit ribosomal RNA
Source: RNAcentral
CACGCCGUAAACGAUGAUAACUAGCUGCUGGGGCACAUGGUGUUUCAGUGGCGCAGCUAACGCAUUAAGUUAUCCGCCUGGGGAGUACGGUCGCAAGAUUAAAACUCAAAGGAAUUGACGGGGGCCUGCACAAGCGGUGGAGCAUGUGGUUUAAUUCGAAGCAACGCGCAGAACCUUACCAGCGUUUGACAUCCUCAUCGCGAUUUCCAGAGAUGGAUUUCUUCAGUUCGGCUGGAUGAGUGACAGGUGC